CCUACGGGGGGCAGCAGUAGGGAAUAUUGCUCAAUGGGGGAAACCCUGAAGCAGCAACGCCGCGUGGAGGAUGAAGGUUUUCGGAUUGUAAACUCCUUUUGUUAGAGAAGAUAAUGACGGUAUCUAACGAAUAAGCACCGGCUAACUCCGUGCCAGCAGCCGCGGUAAUACGGAGGGUGCAAGCGUUACUCGGAAUCACUGGGCGUAAAGAGCGCGUAGGCGGGAUAGCAAGUCAGAUGUGAAAUCCUAUGGCUUAACCAUAGAACUGCAUUUGAAACUGUUAUUCUAGAGUAUGGGAGAGGUAGGUGGAAUUCUUGGUGUAGCGGUGAAAUGCGUAGAGAUCAAGAGGAAUACUCAUUGCGAAGGCGACCUGCUAGAACAUAACUGACGCUGAUGCGCGAAAGCGUGGGGAGCAAACAGGAUUAGAUACCCUAGUAGUC
Molecule: ribosomal RNA, 440 nt
Filed under: uncultured bacterium
Lineage: Bacteria
Description: partial 16S ribosomal RNA
Rfam family: Bacterial small subunit ribosomal RNA
Source: RNAcentral